Cordylochernes scorpioides is the source of this 110-nucleotide non-coding RNA. The record is from the annotation of a GenBank genome assembly. Lineage: Eukaryota; Metazoa; Arthropoda; Arachnida; Pseudoscorpiones; Chernetidae.
ACGGCCAUACAACAUUGAAAACACCGGUUCUCGUCCGAUCACCGAAGUUAAGCAAUGUCGGUCAGUGACAGUGGAAGGGUAACCACCUUGGAACACAGGUGCUGUAGGCU